UAACUUCGUGCCAGCAGCGCGGGUAAUACGAAGGGACCUAGCGUAGUUCGGGAAUACUGGGCUUAAAGAGUUCGUAGGUGGUGAAAAAGUUGGUGGUGAAAUCCCAGAGCUUAACUCUGGAACUGCCAUCAAAACUUUUCAGCUAGAGUAUGAUAGAGGAAAGCAGAAUUUCUAGUGUAGAGGUGAAAUUCGUAGAUAUUAGAAAGAAUACCAAUUGCGAAGGCAGCUUUCUGGAUCAUUACUGACACUGAGGAACGAAAGCAUGGGUAGCGAAGAGGAUUAGAUACCCUCGUAGUCCAUGCCGUAAACGAUGUGUGUUAGACGUUGGAAAUUUAUUUUCAGUGUCGCAGCGAAAGCGAUAAACACACCGCCUGGGGAGUACGACCGCAAGGUUAAAACUCAAAUGAAUUGACGGGGACCCGCACAAGUAGUGGAGCAUGUGGUUUAAUUCGAAGAUACGCGCAGAACCUUACCAACACUUGACAUGUUCGUCGCGACUUUAAGAGAUUAAAGUUUUCGGUUCGGCCGGACGAAACACAGGUGCUGCAUGGCUGUCGUCAGCUCGUGUCGUGAGAUGUUGGGUUAAGUCCCGCAACGAGCGCAACCCUCACUUUUAGUUGCCAUCAUUAAGUUGGGCACUCUGAAAGAACUGCCAGUGAUAAGCUGGAGGAAGGUGGGGAUGACGUCAAGUCCUCAUGGCCCUUACGUGUUGGGCUACACACGUGCUACAAUGGUAUCCACAACAGGAAGCAAAACCGCGAGGUUAAGCAAAUCCUAAAAAGAUACCUCAGUUCGGAUUGCACUCUGCAACUCGAGUGCAUGAAGCUGGAAUUACUAGUAAUCGUGGAUCAGCGUGCCACGGUGAAUGCGUUCCCGGGUCUUGUACACACCGCCCGUCACACCAUGGGAGUUGGUUCUACCUUAAGGCAAGGUUUCAAACCCUUGACCACGGUAUAGUCAGCGACUGGGGUGAAGUCGUAACAAGGUAGCCGUAGGGGAACCUGCGGCUG
This 1010-nucleotide ribosomal RNA is filed under the name marine metagenome. Its description in RNAcentral is "bacterial SSU rRNA". It matches the Rfam family "Bacterial small subunit ribosomal RNA", at positions 498 to 1520 of the family's 1533-position model. The record is from RNAcentral.